AGAGUUUGAUCCUGGCUCAGGAUCAACGCUGGCGGCGUGCCUAAUGCAUGCAAGUCGAACGGGGUCGCUUUCGGGCGACUCACGUGGCGGACGGGUGAGGAACACGUGGGCAAUCUGCCCAUCGGUGGGGGGUAGCCCUCGGAAACGGGGGGUAAUUCCGCAUGUGCGUGAUUGCCGGGUAGGGUGAUUACGGAAAGCCUUCGGGCGCCGAUGGAGGAGCCUGCGACCGAUUAGCUAGUUGGGGGGGUAACGGCUUCCCAAGGCGAUGAUCGGUAGCUGGUCUGAGAGGAUGGCCAGCCACACGGGGCUGAGACACGGCCCCGACUCCUACGGGAGGCAGCAGCAAGGAAUUUUCCGCAAUGGGCGAAACCUGACGGAGCAACGCCGCGUGCGGGAUGACGCUUUUCGGAGUGUAAACCGCUGUUCGUGGGGACGAAGCACUGACGGUACCCACGGAGGAAGGCCCGGCUAACUACGUGCCAGCAGCCGCGGUAAUACGUAGGGGUCGAGCGUUGUCCGGAAUUACUGGGCGUAAAGCGUGUGCAGGCGGCUCAUUGCGCCCGGCGUGAAAGCCCCCGGCUCAACCGGGGAGGGUCGUCGGGGACGGGUGAGCUUGAGGGUAUCAGGGGCAGGUAGAAUUCCCGGUGUAGUGGUGAAAUGCGUAGAGAUCGGGAGGAAUACCCGUGGCGAAGGCGGCCUGCUGGGAUACACCUGACGCUGAGACACGAAGGCGUGGGGAGCGAACGGGAUUAGAUACCCUAGUAGUCC
Molecule: ribosomal RNA, 768 nt
Filed under: uncultured bacterium
Lineage: Bacteria
Description: bacterial SSU rRNA
Rfam family: Bacterial small subunit ribosomal RNA
Source: RNAcentral